Molecule: long non-coding RNA, 1506 nt
Organism: Daphnia pulicaria
Lineage: Eukaryota; Metazoa; Arthropoda; Branchiopoda; Diplostraca; Daphniidae
Exons: 3
Source: RefSeq, a predicted model, not a curated record
GAUUUGCAGCGGACCCAGAUGCGGAGAGAUGGAGAACACGUGUACCGUCUUCAGAUAACUGGAAAUAAUGGCAAAGCUAGCACUUGAGUUUGAGGUCGGAAUUGGCCAUUUGGCAAGGAAAUGGAAUUUUGGGACCAACCUGCGGACUCCGUUGAAAUCACCGCGCUCGACCAGCAGCAAAUAUCGUUUCUCUUCGUUUUUCAGGAUCGACUCGACGGGCGGGCCCAUUACAAACUGCGGAUCUUCUUUGAUACUUAUCUGUCGCAUGGUCACAAGGUAAUAAAAGGCGAUACUUACACAUGAUGAUGGCCUACCAUCCAGGAUCGGACGGACUCGUUGGAUUGUCCGAGCGGCCAGCUGGCGUGCCGGGCUACUGAAGGCUCUGCAAAACUCGUCCACAUACUUCCUCGUUUUUCGGUGGAAUCAUUCGGCUAUUUUCGACUAACUAAUCUUGUUAGGCGUCAGCUCUAUCUACACACACAACAUACUCUCCUGUGUGUUAGUUUUAGAAUUUUGCCAUUCUUCUUUGUCCCGAUGUUUCACUUAAAAGGAUUACUCUCUAUGGUGGUGGCUUCUAUCAGAACACGUAUAGAUAUUCCCGGCUGCCCUUCAAAAACAGUGGCCCCUCUCAAUCUGCUGUCCGGCUAUAUUUUUGUCCUUCCUAUAUGUACAUCGUUUGAUUUAUCACGAUCGAAAUUAUUGAUGUAUUCGUCCAUUUUGGUAUCUUUUCCGGGGAAAUCUGGAAAAGGGGGGGCACAGUUAUGCGCUUAUAAAAUGCUGCUGCUUUGUUUUGUUAUUAUUAUUAUUUUUUCUUUUAUAUGUACUUCCUUCUUCUCAUGUCGUUCGUGAUCGAUUUUAUAUCAGUUACACCCGGUGGGGUAUAUGUAUAUAGUAGCCUAUAGGAGAUGGCUCCUCCAUGUCAAGGCUUAUUCUUUUUGAGUAGAUCCAUCCACGACAUGGUUAUACGGCUGAGAAUGAUGAGACGAAUUUGUAUGCGGUUUGGAAGGGUGGAGUAACUCGAGUAUCUGCAUGGACACAUCACAGCGAAACCUACAUGUAUACAGGCGGGCUGUGGGCCGGCCUAUCAAUUCACGUUCGCCGACCGUGACGGAACGUGAAGCUACAUAUAGUCUGGAGUAGUAAUAAUAGUCUGCAUCGCCGCUGAUCACGUCUAUAGCCUAUACAUAUGAACUAUUUUGCCGCUCUCUUUUGUGGCUGCUGCUACCGCACAACAAAAAGAAGGGACCUAAUAUCGAUCCAUCGCCCGGCUCGCCUUUCUAUUUUCAGGAUAUCCACUCACUUGCUGUACAGUACAGUUACAUCCUCUACAUACAUGCGUCCAUGUAAAUUUCUCUUGUCGCUGAUAUUUGUGAUAAAUUUACCGAGACAUUCAGAACGUUUCACGCACGGAUCGUCCAGUUUCUCCCAAGGCCGGAAGGGAGAAAGUUUAUUUAUACUGACAAUUAAGUAUUUAAAUGCAUUUAAAUGUGUGGAAGGAGUUGAAUA